GACGAACGCUGGCGGCGUGCUUAACACAUGCAAGUCGAACGAAGAGCGAUGGAAGCUUGCUUCUAUCAAUCUUAGUGGCGCACGGGUGGGUAACGCGUAAUCAACCUGCCCUUCAGAGGGGGACAACAGUUGGAAACGACUGCUAAUACCGCAUACGAUCUAAUCUCGGCAUCGAGGAUAGAUGAAAGGUGGCCUCUACAUGUAAGCUAUCACUGAAGGAGGGGAUUGCGGCUGAUUAGCCAGUUGGAGGGGUAACGGCCCACCAAGGCGAAGAUCAGUAGCCGGGCUGAGAGGAUGAACGGCCAAAUUGGGACUGAGACACGGCCCAGACGCCUACGGGAGGGAGCAGGGGGGAAUCUUCCGCAAUGGAGGAAAGUCUGACGGAGGAACGCCGGGGGAGUGAUGACGGCCUUCGGGUUGUAAAGCUCUGUUAAUCGGGACGAAAGGCCUUCUUGCGAAUAGUGAGAAGGAUUGACGGUACCGGAAGAGAAAGCCACGGCUAACUACGUG
Molecule: ribosomal RNA, 510 nt
Filed under: uncultured bacterium
Lineage: Bacteria
Description: partial 16S ribosomal RNA
Rfam family: Bacterial small subunit ribosomal RNA
Source: RNAcentral